GGAGCUGGCAAAUGAGCUUUGAUCCGGAGAUAUCCGAAUGGGGAAACCCACCCGCAAGGGUAUCGCUAGCUGAAUACAUAGGCUAGCGAGGCGAACCGAGUGAACUGAAACAUCUAAGUAGCUCGAGGAAAAGACAUCAACCGAGAUUCCGAAAGUAGUGGCGAGCGAAAUCGGAACAGCCUAGUGCUCUUUAGCAGUCGACUUAUCAGAACGGAAUGGAAAGUCCGGCCAUAGUGGGUGAUAGCCCCGUAUGAGAAAAGUCUUCUGUGGAACUGAGUGCACGAUAAGUAGGGCGGGACACGUGAAAGCCUGUCUGAAGAUGGGGGGACCAUCCUCCAAGGGUAAAUACUCGUAAUCGACCG
RNAcentral lists this ribosomal RNA (362 nucleotides) under Enterobacter hormaechei. Its description in RNAcentral is "partial 23S ribosomal RNA". It matches the Rfam family "Bacterial large subunit ribosomal RNA", at positions 82 to 486 of the family's 2925-position model. Lineage: Bacteria; Pseudomonadati; Pseudomonadota; Gammaproteobacteria; Enterobacterales; Enterobacteriaceae. The record is from RNAcentral.